This 731-nucleotide ribosomal RNA is filed under the name uncultured soil bacterium. RNAcentral describes it as "bacterial SSU rRNA". It matches the Rfam family "Bacterial small subunit ribosomal RNA", at positions 34 to 745 of the family's 1533-position model. The record is from RNAcentral.
CGCUGGUGACGUGGAUAAGACAUGCAAGUCGAACGGGAUUAUUUCUGUAGCAAUACAGGAAUAAUUUAGUGGCGAACGGGUGCGUAACACGUGGGCAAUCUGCCGAGAAGUGGGGGAUAGCUCGCCGAAAGGCGAAUUAAUACCGCAUGUGAUCAGAGGCGACAUCGCUUCGAAAUCAAAGCCGGGGCAACCUGGCGCUUUUUGAGGAGCCCGCGGCCUAUCAGCUAGUUGGUGAGGUAACGGCCCACCAAGGCUUUGACGGGUAGCUGGUCUGAGAGGACGACCAGUCACACUGGAACUGAGACACGGUCCAGACACCUACGGGUGGCAGCAGUCGAGAAUUUUUCUCAAUGGGGGCAACCCUGAAGGAGCGACGCCGCGUGGAGGAUGAAGGCUUUCGGGUUGUAAACUCCUGUCAUUUGAGAACAAGUGCCGGCAAGUAACUACUGCCGGCUUGAUAGUAUCAGAAGAGGAAGGGACGGCUAACUCUGUGCCAGCAGCCGCGGUAAUACAGAGGUCCCAAGCGUUGUUCGGAUUCAUUGGGCGUAAAGGGUGCGUAGGUGGCGCCGUAAGUGGGGUGUGAAAUUUCGGAGCUUAACUCCGAAACUGCAUUCCAUACUGCGGUGCUCGAGGACUGGAGAGGAGACUGGAAUUUACGGUGUAGCAGUGAAAUGCGUAGAGAUCGUAAGGAAGACCAGUGGCGAAGGCGGGUCUCUGGACAGUUCCUGACA